GAUGAACGCUGGCGGCGUGCCUAAUACAUGCAAGUCGGGCGAACAGACGAGGAGCUUGCUCCUCUGACGUUAGCGGCGGACGGGUGAGUAACACGUGGAUAACCUACCUAUAAGACUGGGAUAACUUCGGGAAACCGGAGCUAAUACCGGAUAAUAUAUUGAACCGCAUGGUUCAAUAGUGAAAGACGGUUUUGCUGUCACUUAUAGAUGGAUCCGCGCCGCAUUAGCUAGUUGGUAAGGUAACGGCUUACCAAGGCGACGAUGCGUAGCCGACCUGAGAGGGUGAUCGGCCACACUGGAACUGAGACACGGUCCAGACUCCUACGGGAGGCAGCAGUAGGGAAUCUUCCGCAAUGGGCGAAAGCCUGACGGAGCAACGCCGCGUGAGUGAUGAAGGUCUUCGGAUCGUAAAACUCUGUUAUUAGGGAAGAACAAAUGUGUAAGUAACUAUGCACGUCUUGACGGUACCUAAUCAGAAAGCCACGGCUGACUACGUG
Molecule: ribosomal RNA, 497 nt
Filed under: uncultured bacterium
Lineage: Bacteria
Description: partial 16S ribosomal RNA
Rfam family: Bacterial small subunit ribosomal RNA
Source: RNAcentral